CCUACGGGGGGCAGCAGUGGGGAAUAUUGCGCAAUGGGCGAAAGCCUGACGCAGCGACGCCGCGUGAGGGAUGAAGGUCUUCGGAUCGUAAACCUCUGUCAGCAGGGAAGAACGGUCACUGUGCUAUUCAGCAGUGAAUUGACGUUACCAGCAAAGGAAGCACCGGCUAACUCCGUGCCAGCAGCCGCGGUAAUACGGAGGGUGCGAGCGUUAAUCGGAAUUACUGGGCGGAAAGCGCUCGUAGGCGGUAUGUCAAGUCAAGGGUGAAAUCCCCGCGCUCAACGUGGGAACUGCCUUUGAUACUGGCAACCUAGAGUGUGUGAGAGGAUGGUGGAAUUCCAGGUGUAGGGGUGAAAUGCGUAGAUAUCUGGAGGAACAUCGGUGGCGAAGGCGGCUAUCUGGAACAUAACUGACGCUGAGGAGCGAAAGCGUGGGUAGCAAACAGGAUUAGAUACCCUUGUAGUC
RNAcentral lists this ribosomal RNA (465 nucleotides) under uncultured bacterium. RNAcentral's name for it is "partial 16S ribosomal RNA". It matches the Rfam family "Bacterial small subunit ribosomal RNA", at positions 338 to 795 of the family's 1533-position model. The record is from RNAcentral.